GCUUGUCUCAAAGAUUAAGCCAUGCAUGUCUAAGUAUAAACAACUUUGUACUGUGAAACUGCGAAUGGCUCAUUAUAUCAGUUAUAGUCUACUCGAUAGUACCUUACUACUUGGAUAACCGUAGUAAUUCUAGAGCUAAUACAUGCUAUAUGCCCGGCUUCUGGCAGGGCUGUAUUUAUUAGAUACUAAACCAGUGUCGCAAGACAUUGUGGUGAAUCACAGUAACUGAUCGAAUCGGCGCGCAAGCGGCGAUAAAUCAUUCAAGUUUCUGCCCUAUCAGCUUUCGAUGGUAGUGUAUUGGACUACCAUGGCAGUCACGGGUAACGGAGAAUUAGGGUUCGGUUCCGGAGAGGGAGCCUGAGAAACGGCUACCACAUCUAAGGAAGGCAGCAGG
Molecule: ribosomal RNA, 394 nt
Filed under: uncultured ciliate
Lineage: Eukaryota; Ciliophora
Description: partial small subunit ribosomal RNA
Rfam family: Eukaryotic small subunit ribosomal RNA
Source: RNAcentral